GUAACUGGUGGAAAUUAUAACUGGAAUGCAACCAGCAAAAAUGGAUUCCACAACUCGUGGACUUGCAACUUCCCAUCCGCUGGGGCACAGACAAAACUUACUUUGGCCCAUCUUUUCAGCAUAACUUUGGGAUUUUGCGAAGAAGGCAAGGAUUGAGCGUUCUGAUGGAGGUACACCAUGCUUUGGGAGAGUUAGCUGUCCGAAUGGGAGUUUUACUUCAGGUAGUGAUACAUCUCUUUCCGGAAGAAAACCUUCUGAGGUGUUGGCAUUGCAGAGAACUCUAAUGAAGUUUUUGAAGAGUUCGGGCCUACCAAUAGAUAUAUUUGGUCCCUGAAAUAUGCAAAUGUAACAUUACAAACAAAUUUAAUCAUAGUGCAACCAAAAUGCUUUUGGGGCUGUAAGGUCCGCUUAAUUGAAAUGAUAACAAGAACUAACCGGAAAUCUCACCCAAUCAUGACAAGAAACCAUGAAAUGGUCAGCACCAGCAGAUCUAUUCCAGAAUGGGUACCUACUCGAUAUGACUCGUAUAUAAUCAGUUACGAACAAAUUGAGGCGUUCCUGUGGUAAGGAUGGUUCGGGUUUAAACACAAAUCGACGAAGCCGAGCCACACUAAAUGGGAGGAAGAAAACAUGGGCUUGUUCAGGAUGUUGAGCUGAGAAUUGGCUUGCCCCACUCUCCAUCUCAUCAAUAAACUGUCCUUCUGUUGAGUAUAUGUUGUUCAAUGGUCCUUCAUGAACUAGUGGUAGCUCUCCUUCCUUGUAAGUCCAUACCUUGAACCGUUUCUCCAUUUCGAUGUGGCUCCUAAAAGAAUUCAGCAAACGAAUAACAAAAUAGUUAUAUUGAAUUCCUUCCAAAAUAAUGUUUGGCGCGUACAACGAUCAAUGUGGAUGACCAAUGCUGCAUGGAUGGACUAGUGUAUUUGGCAAGUGGAUAAUUCAAAUGUGGUUGAAGGACCAUGGAAUAAACUGAACCAGAAUAUGAUCCUAAAGCCUGCAUUGGAGACUAUAUGAAGCCACAUUUGUCUAACUUUGGAAUUCCCAUAGUCUUGAAUGGUGUAUCAGAAACAAUGUAUCUCAUUUAUUAGUGUCAGUUGGGACAGUCUUGUGCAGUUGUGCAUUUUGAAUGGUACCUGAAAAUGAAUUAACACUAACAACAAUAAAAGGAGGUUAGGGUGAAGUCUUAACUGAUAAAAGGCAUCAGGGUUUCUGUAAAUUGAUCUUUUGGAGAUGAAUUUGAAGUCUUCCUUCCCA
Papaver somniferum (opium poppy) is the source of this 1251-nucleotide long non-coding RNA. RefSeq lists it as uncharacterized. The transcript has 3 exons. The record is from RefSeq and is a predicted model, not a curated record. Lineage: Eukaryota; Viridiplantae; Streptophyta; Magnoliopsida; Ranunculales; Papaveraceae.